GGGAUAUUAGCUCAGGGGGAGAGUGCUUGAUUCACAUUCAAGAGGUCACUGGUUCGAAACCAGUAUAUCCCA
This 72-nucleotide transfer RNA is filed under the name Pectinatus cerevisiiphilus. It matches the Rfam family "tRNA". From Rfam's summary of the family: Transfer RNA (tRNA) molecules are approximately 80 nucleotides in length. Lineage: Bacteria; Bacillati; Bacillota; Negativicutes; Selenomonadales; Selenomonadaceae. The record is from Rfam by way of RNAcentral.